AAAGCAUGGGUAGCAAACAGGAUUAGAUACCCUGGUAGUCCAUGCCGUAAACGAUGAUUACUAGGUGUUGGAGGAUUGACCCCUUCAGUGCCGCAGUUAACACAAUAAGUAAUCCACCUGGGGAGUACGACCGCAAGGUUGAAACUCAAAGGAAUUGACGGGGGCCCGCACAAGCAGUGGAGUAUGUGGUUUAAUUCGAAGCAACGCGAAGAACCUUACCAGGUCUUGACAUCCGAUGCAUAGCAUAGAGAUAUGUGAAGUCCUUCGGGACAUCGAGACAGGUGGUGCAUGGUUGUCGUCAGCUCGUGUCGUGAGAUGUUGGGUUAAGUCCCGCAACGAGCGCAACCCUUAUUGCCAGUUACUACGCAAGAGGACUCUGGCGAGACUGCCGUUGACAAAACGGAGGAAGGUGGGGAUGACGUCAAAUCAUCAUGCCCUUUAUGACCUGGGCUACACACGUACUACAAUGGCGUUUAACAAAGAGAAGCGAAGCCGCGAGGCGGAGCAAAACUCAAAAACAACGUCUCAGUUCAGAUUGCAGGCUGCAACUCGCCUGCAUGAAGUCGGAAUUGCUAGUAAUCGCGGAUCAGCAUGCCGCGGUGAAUACGUUCCCGGGCCUUGUACAC
This 626-nucleotide ribosomal RNA is filed under the name uncultured bacterium. RNAcentral describes it as "bacterial SSU rRNA". It matches the Rfam family "Bacterial small subunit ribosomal RNA", at positions 756 to 1388 of the family's 1533-position model. The record is from RNAcentral.